AUUGAACGCUGGCGGCAGGCUUAACACAUGCAAGUCGAGCGAGCGGCGGACGGGUGAGUAAUGUCUGGGAAACUGCCGGAUGGAGGGGGAUAACUACUGGAAACGGGAGCUAAUACCGCAUACCAUCAGAUGUGCCCAGAUGGGAUUAGAUAGCAGGGGGGGUAAUGGCUCACCUAGGCGACGAUCCCUCGCUGGUCUGAGGGGGUGACCAGCCACACUGGAACGGAGACACGGUCCAGAGUCCUACGGGAGGCAGCAGUGGGGAAUAUUGCACAAUGGGUGCAAGCCUGAUGCAGCCAUGCCGCGUGUGUGAAGAAGGCCUUCGGGUUGUAAAGCACUUGCAGCGAGGAGGCGUUACUCGCAGAAGAAGCACCGGCUAACUCCGUGCCAGCCGCCGCGGUAAUUC
RNAcentral lists this ribosomal RNA (406 nucleotides) under uncultured bacterium. Its description in RNAcentral is "partial 16S ribosomal RNA". It matches the Rfam family "Bacterial small subunit ribosomal RNA", at positions 29 to 526 of the family's 1533-position model. The record is from RNAcentral.